UUUUAAACAGCUUGAAGUAAAUUAAGGAGAUAACAUAGUACACCCAUGAGGAUAGUUUGCUGACGGUGCACUGUUAUAUUUAGCAAAAAUACAGCCAGUGAAAUUACUCAUUCUAGGACAUUUAGGCUACGAACCACACUAGUUUAGGAUAAGAUUUUCCAAAGAGAGAACACAACAAACACCACUAAUCGAAGCACCUAAGAGGUCUGCUGUCUCCCUUAUGCAUCUCGAGGUCUUACAAGAAAGAUGUCUCCCUUUGCUAGUUCAGUAAAUCCGUUAGGCAGGAUCGGAAACUAUGUACCAUCUUCUAGAGUAAUUGCAAAUAAGCAGCUGCACCACCUACCUGUUCCACUAAACAAGAAAGAUGAAUGCAGUGUAUAUUAGUAAGAGGAAAAGAAUGAAGCUAGUAAAAAAUGGCUGAAGUGUGAUGCAAAUCAUCUACCAUUAAAUUCUCAGAAGCAUGCAUGGUCACACAAUCAAUAUUCAAAGAAAUACGCAGUUGUUUCGCCAUAACUACAAGGACAACUCACAGUGUGAUUCUGGAAUUAUCUUAAACUAGUAUAAAUAUAUGUUUGGAGUCUUGUAAGUCAAAGUCCAAGUCUAUUGAGACUUCCUCUCCUAGGAGAGUAAUUUAUUUAUAUGAAUAAGAUUGUCUUCCACCAUGUUUCCCUUUUCUCAUUCAAAUAUAUUUCUAACAUGGAAUCGAAGCUAGUUUGAUAUAGUGAGCUUCUAAAAGGACUAGAGUGUGAAAUCUCAAAAUAAAUGGAUGGACAAGUGACGUCAAAACAAAAAAUAGAUGUGCAAAAUGAUAGCUUCUAAUAAGAGAAGUGGGGUAUUGCAUCAAAAAAAAAUUACAAAAAAGAAGACUAAGAAAAAGGCUUAGUGCAAGUUAACAACUUCAUGCACAAGAGAUGAGAUGUGAUACAAGAGCUACCACACAUGAAGAAGAGAAGAGAAGAACUCUUCCUACAAGAGAUGAGAAAUGGCCAAAGAGCCAUGAUAAGAAGAAGACAACAAUAUAAAGAAAAGAAGUGAUCACUUUAAGAGCCAAAUAUUGAAAAGAGAUGUUUGGCUAGAAAUUAAAUUGUGGCAACAACCACAAGAGGAUAAAAAUGGCUAAGAAUAGCCAUGUUCAGACAAAGACAAUAAUUGAAGAAAAACAAUUUAAAGAAAUGGCAAUGGAAUGCCAUUAGCUAGCCAUGAUGAAAGGAGUAGCUAAGACAAAGAUGCAAGAUAUAUUUUCUCAAAAUGAAGAUGGAAGUUAAUUUUAAAAACAAUUAUGGAUUAGUGUGAGAGUAAAAAAAAAAAUAAAAAAAAGAUAUUAGAAGUUAUCAUAAGACCUUUAUCACAUAAAAAAUUAUGAUACUUUCAAAAUUAAAGAGGAGUGUUGGAAUUAAUUUUGAAGCCUAUAUUUAAAGUGUCUUUUAGUUUUUCUAAGCAUCUCCUACAUAUAUGCAUGUAACUAUUAAAGAUGUAUUUAUUUUUUAAGUCUCUUAAAUUAAUUCUAGACUAGUAUAAAUAGAUGUUUGGAGUAUUAUAAGUUAAAAUACAAUUCCAUUGAGAUAAUUUAUCGGUAGCUAUGACCCUCAUAGAUGAUUUAUCGGUACUUUAUUUAAUCCAAUACAGAUUAUGUUGAUUGGGGUAUUGUUUUGGCUCCUAUGCAGGGAAUAGAUGGUGGAACGUUUUUAUUGAGUAUGUAGGGUUUAUGUUAUGUAGGUUCGCUAGCUAAUUCAGCAAACUUUUUCUAUGUGUAAUGAUUGCAUUACAUAAUUUUACCUUACUUAAUAAUAACAGCUUCUUUCAAAAAAAAAAAUACAAUUCCAUUGAGACUUGUCAAAAAUAAUAUAUUUAUACAAAUAAGAUUGUGUUUGACCAUGUUUUCUUUUUCUCCUUCAAAUAUAUUUCUAACAGCACACUCAACAUAAGUUUCUUUAGAUUCCAAACUCUCUUAGCUACCAAAAAAUUCAAUUUACUGACUUGGAUUUCAACAAAGCUUAUUAAUCAUUCCAUCAUGGCAUUUGUUAAGCUAAACCUUUUGUUCAAACCAUGUCCCAAUUUAGCAGAAUCAAUUUCAGACAACCCAAUAUAUAUAUACACACACACACACAAACUGAAAAUUUGAAGUAAACAUUUUAAAAAUAGUGGGAUGAUGUUAAGCAGACAAGGCUGGUUAUUUUUUUUUUAGGGGAAAUAGUACAAAAAGGGACUGAGUAACUUGCCAUGUUGCAUAACUCUGCCUCACAUGAGAUAGUAAUAUUGGAGUUUCUUGAGACAGGACCCCUGGUUGAGGUUACAAAAUGCUGCUGCCAUUGUUGCUAUCUAUUAACGGACUAUAUUUUCUAAACUGAUCAUCUACAAGUAGGAAGGAAGAGAGUAAACAUUCAGUUCAACAUCCAAUCAUGAGCGCCUUUUGCAGGUGAUGAUAUAAACAAAACUAAAAGAAAAGAAAAGGAGAAAAAACCCUUGAAGAAAGGAAACCCUUUUGCACAUGCAUGUCUCAGACUCUGUCUGUCUUUGUUCUAAGAAGAGAUGAGAGAAGGAAACUGCAGCCCCUCUUGACAAGAAGGCAACUGCAGUAGCUAACGGACAGGAGUAAAGCUUCUCUCCUU
RNAcentral lists this long non-coding RNA (2609 nucleotides) under Populus tremula. Its description in RNAcentral is "long non-coding RNA (PTRE_LNC000221)". The record is from RNAcentral. Lineage: Eukaryota; Viridiplantae; Streptophyta; Magnoliopsida; Malpighiales; Salicaceae.